Molecule: long non-coding RNA, 1041 nt
Filed under: Rosa chinensis
Lineage: Eukaryota; Viridiplantae; Streptophyta; Magnoliopsida; Rosales; Rosaceae
Description: sRNA RchiOBHm_Chr7g0202911
Source: RNAcentral
UGAGUAUAAAGAAUAAUAUUCACUUAAUAACUAAAAAGAUAAAGAAAACAGUUGGUCUAGGUAAGGUAAGGAAAGGAUAGAUCUACUCCCGACCUCCCCUUCUCUUUGGUCAAACCCAAAAACUGGCCACAGCAAUUUCCUACCCUUUUUAACUCUAGAAUUUGAUUCUUGCCCAGAAUUCUUGCAUCCUUUUACCCAUUGAGAGUUAUCUAAUCGUUUACCCAGACAAUUUCUCCACCAAAUUGAUGAACAAAAGGUCAAAGACGAUGGAGGAGAGGCUCCAAUCCAGGGUUCCUAUGAUACUUAGCCAUACUUGUCGCCGUCGACGCCUACCGGAGCUUCCACCCAAGACAUGCAUCCUCUCAGAACGCCGAUAGCUUCUGGUUUUAAUUGAACUUCCAGCUAAAGAAAAAUCAAGAAGAAGGAGCAUAAUAAGCCAAGCAUUUGCUGGAAAAUUUUGCACUUUUGCAAAAUGUAAUGGCAGCAAGUCAAGAAAGUUAUAAGUACAAAACAUAAAUAAGAAAUUGAUGUAUUGUGCCAUUUGGAAACAUGUAUUAAUGUAAAUAUAGUACUUGUAGCUAUCUAUGUAACCUUUAUUGAAACCUAAGCACAAGUUGUAUUUUUUUCUUUUCUUUUCUUUUUGACAAAGAAUGUAAACAGGUUAAUAUUUGCUUUUGUUUGUAAGAAACACUUGUGUUCUACUCUAGCAUUUUGUUAACAAAAGCUAGUUGGUUUUAUAAAAACAAAUAAACCAAAAUCAGCAGGGAUCAAACAAUUCAUCAUUCAUGACCCCAUACACAAAUCUAGACCCUCUAUAUUUGAUCAUUCUUUUGCCAAAACAAAUAAGUAUAUAGCUAUAAUUAGUUUAGAAGUAGAGUAAACUAGACUAAUUAACUUAAAUAGAGUUCAAGUCUUCACAGGGUUGCUCGAAGUUUUGCAAGUGGUUCUGACUCCAGGUCCGAUGGAAAUCUCUGAGAUGCAUGCGAUGCAGUUAUGGUGGGUCUCGGUUGCAGAUCGAAGGCGUUGCAAAUGCUGAGAUUU